CCUACGGGGGGCAGCAGUAGGGAAUCUUCCACAAUGGACGAAAGUCUGAUGGAGCAAUGCCGCGUGAGUGAAGAAGGGUUUCGGCUCGUAAAACUCUGUUGUUGAAGAAGAACGGGUGUCAGAGUAACUGUUGACAUCGUGACGGUAUUCAACCAGAAAGCCACGGCUAACUACGUGCCAGCAGCCGCGGUAAUACGUAGGUGGCAAGCGUUGUCCGGAUUUAUUGGGCGUAAAGCGAGCGCAGGCGGUUUUUUAAGUCU
RNAcentral lists this ribosomal RNA (260 nucleotides) under uncultured Bacillota bacterium. RNAcentral's name for it is "uncultured Firmicutes bacterium partial 16S ribosomal RNA". It matches the Rfam family "Bacterial small subunit ribosomal RNA", at positions 338 to 590 of the family's 1533-position model. Lineage: Bacteria; Bacillati; Bacillota. The record is from RNAcentral.